GGACACUUUGACUGGAUGAAUGCGUUUCUAGACCAUGUUCAUGUUGAACUAUUCAUGACUAGAUCCACAUUCAUCCAGACAGCCAA
Non-coding RNA from Tetranychus urticae (two-spotted spider mite), 86 nucleotides. NCBI's taxonomy places the organism in Eukaryota, Metazoa, Arthropoda, Arachnida, Trombidiformes, Tetranychidae. The record is from Rfam.